RNAcentral lists this ribosomal RNA (468 nucleotides) under uncultured bacterium. Its description in RNAcentral is "partial 16S ribosomal RNA". It matches the Rfam family "Bacterial small subunit ribosomal RNA", at positions 28 to 507 of the family's 1533-position model. The record is from RNAcentral.
GACGAACGCUGGCGGCGUGCUUAACACAUGCAAGUCGAACGGAAAGGCCCUGCUUUUGUUGCGUGCUCGAGUGGCGAACGGGUGAGUAACACGUGAGUAACCUGCCCUUGACUUUGUGAUAACUUCAGGAAACUGGGGCGAAUACCGGAUAUGAGCUCCUGCUGCAUGUUGGUGGUUGGAAAGUUUCGGCGGUUGGGGAUGGACUCGCGGCUUAUCAGCUGGUUGGUGGGGUAGUGGCUUACCAAGGCUUUGACGGAUAGCCGGCCUGAGAGGGUUACCGGCGACAUUGGGACUGAGAUACGGCCCAGACUCGUACGGGAGGCAGUAGUGGGGAAUAUUGCACAAUGGGCGGAAGCCUGAUGCAGCAACGCCGGGUGCGGGAUGACGGCCUUCGGGUUGUAAACCGCUUUGGACUGUGACGAAGCGUGAGUGACGGUAAUGGGUAAAGAAGCCCCGGCUAACUACGUG